UUCUGAUUUAGUUGGGCUGAGGUAAGUUUCCAUUUCUAAAAAGCUCGCAGGUGAUGCCAGUUCUGCUGGUCCUCAGAUACAUUUCGAGUAGCAAGGACAGAAAGAAUGAUAACAUUCUACAUAUAUUAUCUUCCAUUUAAAAGUUUUCUUAAUUAUGUACUUCUAGAUAGACAAUUGAAGCUAGAUUUGAUUAUUCUUAGGUGAAAAAUUUGUCAUCUUAUAAUUUGUUUGAUAGAUUACUGUAAAGCAAAAGUAAACAAACCCUAACAAUUAUUGAAGAUACUUCACAAGGACUACAUGUUUAAAAAUCCUAAACUGGAAACUUUGACUCAGCUGUCAAAAUCUAUAAUAAAUGCAUACUUUAGGACAUACUAAUCCGUCUUCCCCAAACGAGUUGUGAAAUAGGAAUUGCUUUAGCAUACAUUUCCACUGAUGGCAAGUUACUUCACUUAAUUAUAUGGUCCUUAAACCGGCUCUUUAUUUUGUAAAUUCCAGGAUAAUCCUAGGUUGAGAGCUAAUAAUUUCACCUACCAUAAGAAGACUGAUUAACUGUCCAGAACUGAAAAAAACCCCAAAAGAAGAUUUCUUGCCAGAAUUGUUUAGGAUCUGUUCUGUCUGGUGGGCUGCUAGGUGCUAAUCUAGUUAAGUGAAUUAAAGCUUCAGGAGAUAAUACUCCCAGAAUGGGCUUAAAUGUGAUCCACCCCAUUGCCAAAAAGAGAUCCUUUGUAUCCUCCAGUUAACCAUUGGCCUCCUGGACUCCUCUUAAGAACCAAGUGGUGCAUGCGUGUGUGCCAAAUCACAUCAGUCAUGUCCAGCUCUUUGCGACCCUAUGGACAGUAGCCCACCAGACUCUUCUGUCCAUGGGAUUCUCCAGGCAAGAAUACUGGAGUAGGUUGCCAUGCCCUCCUCCAGAGAGUCUUCCUGACCCAGGGAUCAAAUUCUCCUUACCUCCCAUGUCUCCCGCACUGGCAGUCGGUGUCUUUUCCACUAGCACCACCUGGGAACCCCCAGAAUCAAAUGGUGAGAUUCUCUGAGUGAGUGUAGUUGAUUAAGAGUAAGCAAAUUCAAGCAUAAUCAUCCCACUAUGAGCUUGUUUUCUUUUCAAAUCCAGGAAAGUUUUAAAUAACGUAAGGCUAUGUGUAACAUUCACUAAUAUUUCAUCAGCCUGUGCUUUUGGAGGCAUGAAUUGUCUUUAGUCCAAACUGAAAAUGUUGACAAAUAUCCUAGGUCAAUGGUUGUUGGCUCUUCCAAACAGAAUAAUUAUAAUAAUACAUAUGUACAGCUAACUUUUAUGGUGCCCUUCCUCUGUGCCAAGGCUUGUUCUAC
Molecule: long non-coding RNA, 1326 nt
Organism: Bos taurus (domestic cattle)
Lineage: Eukaryota; Metazoa; Chordata; Mammalia; Artiodactyla; Bovidae
Source: Ensembl